UGCGGAGGGGGCAAGCGUUGUUCGGAUUUACUGGGCGUAAAGCGCACGUAGGCGGAUCGUUAAGUCGGGGGUGAAAUCCUGGAGCUCAACUCCAGAACUGCCUUCGAUACUGGCGAUCUUGAGUCCGGAAGAGGUGAGUGGAACUCCUAGUGUAGAGGUGGAAUUCGUAGAUAUUAGGAAGAACACCAGUGGCGAAGGCGGCUCACUGGUCCGGUACUGACGCUGAGGUGCGAAAGCGUGGGGAGCAAACAGG
This 253-nucleotide ribosomal RNA is filed under the name uncultured bacterium. RNAcentral describes it as "partial 16S ribosomal RNA". It matches the Rfam family "Bacterial small subunit ribosomal RNA", at positions 524 to 776 of the family's 1533-position model. The record is from RNAcentral.